Molecule: long non-coding RNA, 1385 nt
Organism: Paramisgurnus dabryanus
Lineage: Eukaryota; Metazoa; Chordata; Actinopteri; Cypriniformes; Cobitidae
Source: RefSeq, a predicted model, not a curated record
UAUAGUAAUGGCAUAGUUUUGAAGGAAACUGUCACCAGUGGUUAUAAAUUAAAAUAUUGCAGCAUUAUUGCAAAUCUUCAUGUGGUGUAAUUAGUAAUCUAUUACCACCAAGGCCUUACUUGUAACAUAUGUUUGGUCAGGUGUACCACGGUAAUGCUUUCUGCUUGCUAGCAACUGAACUUUUGUGCUGUACUUUUUGUAAUGUGUAGAUAUUAGAAUUGAGGACUCUGCUGAACAGUGAGAAAAAAUACUGUAUCAGGAGAAGAUGGCAAGAGUCUGAUUCAAACUUCCAGUCUACCCUUAAAGAUGUGGACCGUGAGCUCAGAGUCCAGCUGCAAGGCUAGAACUGAAUCAAGGGAGAGAGCAGUCCUCCUCCACCUGAGAAGAAUAUAUCCAGCUUUGCUUCAGAUGGGCAGGGCAUUGCCAUUAGAUUCUCCAAGCAGGUAGCGACAAUUGAUUUUCAGGAAUCAUAUGAUCCCUCUUGGCAUGUCUACUUCUGCUUUGAUGACACUAUUGAAGAAGAUGAUGUUUCGCGGAGUCUAAAAAAGCGAGGAAUUGAUGCCUUACAUAUGAAGACUCAUGCAAAAGCUGCUCUCAUUCAACGCUUCCAACAGCUGGAAAGAAAACUACAUCAAGCCAUUGUGAUGUUUCACCCACAUGUAUCAGACUUUGUUCCUGCAGACAACCCCCACUUGUGUCAGGCCCUCCCCAUGCCAAGCAUACAGACACUGGUAUACAAUGAUAAGAGUGAUAAUGAUGAAAAUGUGGAUAAAUAUGAUAACUAGCACUACAGAUUUUUUUUAAGUUUCUAGUCUUGAUAUUGUAUUCUGUAAAAAAAAUGAUGUAAAAUGUAUAGUAUAUGUUGCAGCACAUCAUAGAAACCUUUAUGGUGGUUUAAUAUAAUGUUCGCCUUACUUGUGCAAACAUGAUGUUUUACUAGGUCUGAUUUAUUUUAAAGCGUAGGUACUGUUUUUAAGCACACAUAUUCACACUAGUCUGUGUGAGGAGAACAUUGUGUGUUUACCAUUGUGAUGUUACUUAUUUACUGUAAUGUACAAAUGUGGUCAAUGUGUGUAAGGUGUUUUGUUUUUGUGUGCUAAGUUGAAAUGACAAAGUAUUGAAUCUUGAAUCCUUUGAAACAAAUACUGUUAAAGUUUGUAAAAAAUAAAAUGUUUUCCAGAAUGAGUUAUAGUCAUGAUUUCAGCUAUUGUCACAGCACACUUUAGAGGUGAAUGAAUAGUGAUGAACUUAAUAAAUGACUUAUACAAUGUUUUACAGUCAUAAUCCACAAGACAGACUGCCACAUACAGUAUGUUCUUACAUAACCAUUAUAUUGGCUUGAAAUUCUCCCGAACUAAGUUGAUGUGGAUUAAUACUUUUUUCUU